AUUGAACGCUGGCGGCAGGCUUAACACAUGCAAGUCGAGCGGUAACAGAGAGAAGCUUGCUUCUCUGCUGACGAGCGGCGGACGGGUGAGUAAUGCCUAGGAAUCUGCCUAGUAGUGGGGGAUAACUUGCCGAAAGGUAAGCUAAUACCGCAUACGUCCUACGGGAGAAAGGAGGGGACCUUCGGGCCUUUCGCUAUUAGAUGAGCCUAGGUCGGAUUAGUUAGUUGGUGAGGUAAUGGCUCACCAAGACCGCGAUCCGUAACUGGUCUGAGAGGAUGAUCGGUCACGCUGGAACUGAGACACGGUCCAGACUCCUACGGGAGGCAGAAGUGGGGAAUAUUGGACAAUGGGGGGAACCCUGAUCCAGCCAUGCCGCGUGUGUGAAGAAGGUCUUAGGAUUGUAAAGCACUUUAAGUUGGGAGGAAGAGCAGUUAACUAAUAUUUGACUGUUUUGACGUUACCGACAGAAUAAGCACCGGCUAACUUCGUGCCAGCCGCCGCGGUAA
This 506-nucleotide ribosomal RNA is filed under the name uncultured bacterium. RNAcentral describes it as "partial 16S ribosomal RNA". It matches the Rfam family "Bacterial small subunit ribosomal RNA", at positions 30 to 523 of the family's 1533-position model. The record is from RNAcentral.